AACCGUACCCCAAACCGACACAGGUGUUCGGGUAGAGAAUACCAAGGCGCUUGAGAGAACUCGGGUGAAGGAACUAGGCAAAAUGGCACCGUAACUUCGGGAGAAGGUGCGCCGGCUAGGGUGAAGGAUUUACUCCGUAAGCUCUGGCUGGUCGAAGAUACCAGGCCGCUGCGACUGUUUAUUAAAAACACAGCACUCUGCAAACACGAAAGUGGACGUAUAGGGUGUGACGCCUGCCCUGUGCCGGAAGGUUAAUUGAUGGGGUUAGCGCAAGCGAAGCUCU
Molecule: ribosomal RNA, 283 nt
Filed under: Pseudomonas aeruginosa
Lineage: Bacteria; Pseudomonadati; Pseudomonadota; Gammaproteobacteria; Pseudomonadales; Pseudomonadaceae
Description: partial 23S ribosomal RNA
Rfam family: Bacterial large subunit ribosomal RNA
Source: RNAcentral